GAUGAACGCUGGCGGCGUGCCUAAUACAUGCAAGUCGAGCGAACAGACGAGGAGCUUGCUCCUCUGACGUUAGCGGCGGACGGGUGAGUAACACGUGGAUAACCUACCUAUAAGACUGGGAUAACUUCGGGAAACCGGAGCUAAUACCGGAUAAUAUAUUGAACCGCAUGGUUCAAUAGUGAAAGACGGUUUUGCUGUCACUUAUAGAUGGAUCCGCGCCGCAUUAGCUAGUUGGUAAGGUAACGGCUUACCAAGGCAACGAUGCGUAGCCGACCUGAGAGGGUGAUCGGCGACACUGGAACUGAGACACGGUCCAGACUCCUACGGGAGGCAGCAGUAGGGAAUCUUACGCAAAGGGCGAAAGCUUGACGGAGCAACGCCGCGUGAGUGAUGAAGGUCUUCGGAUCGUAAAACUCUGUUAUUAGGGAAGAACAAAUGUGUAAGUAACUAUGCACGUCUUGACGGUACCUAAACAGAAAGCCACGGCUAACUACGUG
This 497-nucleotide ribosomal RNA is filed under the name uncultured bacterium. RNAcentral's name for it is "partial 16S ribosomal RNA". It matches the Rfam family "Bacterial small subunit ribosomal RNA", at positions 28 to 507 of the family's 1533-position model. The record is from RNAcentral.